AGUAACUUUCUUCUCAUCAGGAGUGUGCUGUACUUUAGAAGGCUCAUCCCCAGAAGUUGUAGCAGGACCAUUCACUGCCUUUUCAGAAGGGCUGUUUUCAUCAAUAGCAUCUUUUGCCUUGAAAAAACAAAACCAGGAUGAUAUUAUACAGUCUCAGUAAGUUUCACUCUUGCUCAAUCACAGUUCUGCAGUAGGAAACACCUCUUGCCAGCCUGUGCUAGUACUCUGCCAUUGGCAAGGAAAGAACGCCAAGGUAACCCUGAGGCAGCACAGUCCCAGCAGACACAGAACGCUUCAUUUGUCUAACCCAAUGAAGAAACUACCUGACAAGUGGAGUUUCACACCCCUUUUACUGUCUAUUUUAAGAGUAGGUUUUGUUAAUCAUACAGCAGUGGAUUUUAUUUUGCUAACCUCAGACAUAACUUGUGUUAGCAAGUUCAGUUUCACUUCAGGAGUAAAGGAAUCCUGAUAUGGAUAUUAUUUUUUAUGAUCUUUAACACCACUCUGAUACCUGAAGAAGAACAGGUCUCAAAUCUACAAUCUUUGUAAUAUUAUUUCUUUCUAAAAUGGUUUGUACCAGUCACUGAAUGUGCUUUCUAGCAUCUUCGAUUCAUAGUAUGUUCUAGGGAUUACUUUUCAGGACUCAUCCAUGGGUAAUUUUUACAUUUUAUCAUAUAGUGUUACAUUAUUAAGUGCAGUACUUUAAAAUGUGUGAAGACUUAGUUUGAGCAUAAAGUCUGCAAUGGCAGUCUGUAAGUCAAUAGCAGUUCUGUUUACUCUGGGCCAUUUUUGCUUUUAAUGAUUUAUUCUUGAACCCAAACACAGUUCUAGUCAAGUGUGAACAAUCUAAAUGAAGCAUUCCUUUACUGUUUUGCUGCAAGAGAUGAGGAAAAUAGAAAAUAUGCAUUAAAAAAAAAAAGGAAAAAAAUAAAAGAUCUUACCGUUUCUUUCUUGGUUUUGGCUAGUGUCUCCUUUGGAGGGUUUCUCUGUCUACUCUGAGAUUCAGCUCGUGAUAUAUAAUCAGCUACUGUUACUGUUUAAGGAAAAAAAUUACAGUGAUGCUCACAUCAGAAUUCUCAUUAAGCUUCACAUCUCUUUUCUGUAUAAGCUAUGCUAUAACUGGGGACAUCUCACAAAAGGCCUUCAUACAGGUAUCAACUACAUAGCAAGGAUCAAUUUGGUUCUGUUAAAUAUAGCUUUCAGUAAAAUCUGUGGUGAGGUGCUGAUCUGGAGGUGGAAUCUUAAAGUAACUAAAUUAGUAAUUUUGUCCCAGUUGUAAAUUUUACUGGGGCUUUCUGGAUUGGGCUUGAAGAGAUCAGACUGUAGGCUCUUUAAACGACUGUGUUUGUCAUUGGGGUUUUACUAUCUCGAGUAACAAAGAAUUUCAUACUAAUGAAGGGAAGUUAAAAUAUGAAAGGAACUGGGGGAGGGUCAGAGUAACCACUUACAAUAAUGCAGCAUUCAAAUCUUUCUUUUUUUUAUGAAGCGACUGGCAAGAGAACUCACCCUCCUCCUGGCAUUCAGAAUGCAAUCCGCACAGUUAACUCUGGCUGGUGGGUGGGUGACUGGGGUAAUUGUGGUGUGUGUACGGACACUUGGCAGCUCUGCAUGAGCGAGCCCAUACUCAAAGGCAGGACAGCCAUGCCUGGGCUGUUAUGGCUACACUUAAUGAAUGCUGGUCAGGGCUUUGCUGACCCCUUUUUUGUCAUGCAGCCUGGGGUUUGCCCUAUCCCACCCUCUUGUAACCACACCACCUGGGAGUCAACUCUGUCUUUACAGUAUGUCAUACUACCGAUUUACAUACAUGCUUGUACCUUCAAUGAGAUACAGCACAUUAGAAUUGGCAAGCAUUGUCUGUUGAACAGCACAGUCUGUUGCAUGUAGUAUAUCAUGCACUCAGGUGAACUGUUUUUCUGGCUUUAGGAAUGACGGUGCAUGAAACCUACAUCAGAACAGGAAGCACAACACAGGAAUUUCCCCAUUAUGCUAAGUGGACUUCUUACAACUGGCUCCUUUUAUCAUGACCAAGAUCAAGUGACUUCCUUCGCAAGGAGAGCUUUUUCAUUAAAAUGAGGUUCUGUACCCAGCUCCUGUGAUGUAAAGGUGCACCUUUACAUCACAGUGCACCUUUUAUGCACAGUGUCAGACACCAGUUCUUAAUAGUCAUAUACAUAAUAGGAACUCAAAACAUGUAACAAUGUAAAUCAAAUAAUGAAACCAAAGGACUGGACUACACUGUUAGCACCAGGGGAGUUCCUCCUGUCUUGAAGUCCUCUUGCUAUACACUUACUAAGUAUUUAUGAAGAGAUUAAUUUUUUUAGAGCAUUUUUCACAGAGACAGUAUAACUGACUACCAUUGCUCUUACUGUUGCAUUUAAAAAUAUUUAUUAUGCAAACUGAAAAUGGUAUCUUGAACAAAGACAACAACAAGGGGGAAAAAGGACAAAAGAGAAAUUGUCUUUGGGAAAUCCUGUUCUUUGAAUACUUGGAUUUAAAAGAUGAAUACCACAGCUUUCUGGAAGGAUGACCAAUAUCUCAUUAUAUUGCUGGCUGAAAUUAGCUUCUUAACAGUUGUCAUGGUUUCAGCUGAAAUCCAUUUUUACUUUUUCCUGCCCCUUUAUGAACUCCUAUGACUGUUACAAAACCAGAUGUUGAAAAGUAAAGGGUUACUUUUGGUUUGGAUGGUUUUUUUAGUGGGUGAUGGGGGGUGGUGGGUAGGGUGGUGGUGGUGUGUGUUUGGGGUUUUUUCUUUUCCUUUCACCAAGUUUUGGUUAGUGUAAUAUAACAACUUUUUUUCUUCUGAAACAAAUGUUGUAUGAGCACCACAGAUGGAAGACAAAUAUGGGUGCAAUUCUGAACCUGUCAGUCUAGAAGACCUUCUGUUACUACCUCACGCCAUGGAUGCUGUAUCAGACUCUGUCAUCCCAUCCAUAAGAACAGCAUCUUCAUCAGUCCUUCGCCGACGUGACCUCCUGCGGCGGUUACUACUGUGGCAUUUUGUUGCUAUUUCUAGGCAACUGCUCAGAAAUUCCCAGGCACAACUUUGCCACCUUAGAGCGGAUGGCUGUUGCUUAGCAACCUCUUCUGCCUGUUGGGAUGCUGCCUUGAACAACUGAACCAUUUGUAUUCAACAGCAUCUGGAAUAUCUUGCCCUCUCUGAGGAACUCUAGCAGAAGAGGGUCUGAAACCCAUACCAAUCUGACGCAACUGCUCAUCAAUCUGGAGCCUUUCCAGUCUUAGUUGUUCCACCUCCUACAGGAAAGGAAACGAAACCAAUUGCUGAUAAAGAAACAUUCUUCUCCCUAACAAAAUACCAGUCAUCCCAAAAGCCAGUGUGCCUGUGGGAAAGUUAACACCACUUUGAAGGUGACUACAAAUAGUGGAAUUGAGAUCAGUUCUGCAGUCUCUGAGUUUUGGAUGAACCUAAAACCUUUCUGUUAAAUCACAACACAGAAAGACUGUUUUAAAGACUAUUAUUACCUUCCUUAACUAUACUUCACAUUUUCACAGAAUCACAGAAUGGUUUGGGCUGGAAAGGACCUUAAGAUCAUCAAGUUGCAACCUACCUGCCAUGGGCAGGGACGCCUCACCCUAAACCAUGUUGGUUUGUCCAACCUGUCCAUGAACACUACCAGAGAUGAAGCAUUCAGAACUUUGGGCAGUUCUUCCUUAUAUCUAACCUGAACUUCCUUGUGUAAGUUUGAACCCAUUACUCCUUGUCCUGUCACUACAAUCCCUAAUGAGGACUUUCUCUCCAGCAUCUUCGUAGGCCCCAUUCAGGAUUAACACUUUUUUACAAAGUUACAAAAAUUACAAAAAAAAAAAAA
Long non-coding RNA from Melopsittacus undulatus (budgerigar), 3827 nucleotides. RefSeq lists it as uncharacterized. NCBI's taxonomy places the organism in Eukaryota, Metazoa, Chordata, Aves, Psittaciformes, Psittaculidae. The transcript has 4 exons. The record is from RefSeq and is a predicted model, not a curated record.